Molecule: ribosomal RNA, 759 nt
Filed under: Porphyromonas endodontalis
Lineage: Bacteria; Pseudomonadati; Bacteroidota; Bacteroidia; Bacteroidales; Porphyromonadaceae
Description: bacterial SSU rRNA
Rfam family: Bacterial small subunit ribosomal RNA
Source: RNAcentral
GAUGAACGCUAGCGAUAGGCUUAACACAUGCAAGUCGAGGGGCAGCAUUAUUUUAGCUUGCUAGAUAGAUGGCGACCGGCGCACGGGUGCGUAACGCGUAUGCAACCUGCCUGUAAUUAGGGAAUAACCCGGUGAAAGUCGGACUAAUACCCUAUAUUCUUCUUUCUCCGCAUGGAGGAGGACGGAAAGAUUUAUUGAUUACAGAUGGGCAUGCGUCCCAUUAGCUGGUUGGUAAGGUAACGGCUUACCAAGGCAACGAUGGGUAGGGGGACUGAGAGGUUGACCCCCCACACUGGUACUGAGACACGGACCAGACUCCUACGGGAGGCAGCAGUGAGGAAUAUUGGUCAAUGGGCGAGAGCCUGAACCAGCCAAGUCGCGUGAAGGACGACGGUUCUAUGGAUUGUAAACUUCUUUUGUAGAGGAAUAACGGCAGCUACGAGUAGCUGAGAUGCAUGUACUCUACGAAUAAGUAUCGGCUAACUCCGUGCCAGCAGCCGCGGUAAUACGGAGGAUACGAGCGUUAUCCGGAAUUAUUGGGUUUAAAGGGUGCGUAGGUGGCGUAUUAAGUCAGUGGUGAAAAGCUGCAGCUCAACUGUAGUCUUGCCGUUGAAACUGAUAUGCUAGAGAAGAGACGAGGUAUGCGGAAUGUGUGGUGUAGCGGUGAAAUGCAUAGAUAUCACACAGAACGCCGAUUGCGAAGGCAGCGUACCAGGCUCCGUCUGACACUGAAGCACGAAAGCGUGGGGAUCAAACAGG